AGAACGAACGCUGGCGGCGUGGAUAAGACAUGCAAGUCGAACGCGACUUAUCUGGUUAGCAAUAACUAGGUAAGUUGAGUGGCGAAAGGGUGCGUAACACGUGGGAAUUUACCAAGAAGUGGGGAAUAGCUCGACGAAAGUCGAAUUAAUACCGCAUAUGAUCGCAAGAUCAAAGCCGGGGACCGCAAGGCCUGGCGCUUUUUGAGAAGCCCGCGGCCCAUCAGCUAGUUGGCGGGGUAAAGGCCCACCAAGGCUAUGACGGGUAGCUGGUCUGAGAGGACGACCAGCCACACUGGAACUGAGACACGGUCCAGACACCUACGGGUGGCAGCAGUCGAGAAUUUUUUCACAAUGGACGAAAGUCUGAUGGAGCGACGCCGCGUGGAGGAUGAAGGUUUUCGGAUUGUAAACUCCUGUCACUGCAGAACAGGAUGCGUUUAUGAAUAGUACGCGCAUUUGAUGGUAUGCGGAGAGGAAGGGACGGCUAACUCUGUG
This 495-nucleotide ribosomal RNA is filed under the name uncultured bacterium. RNAcentral's name for it is "SSU rRNA". It matches the Rfam family "Bacterial small subunit ribosomal RNA", at positions 26 to 507 of the family's 1533-position model. The record is from RNAcentral.